ACCGGCAGCUCAAGUGGUGGCCAUUUUUAUUGGGCCUAAAGCGUUCGUAGCCGGUUUGAUAAGUCUCUGGUGAAAUCCCGCAGCUUAACUGUGGGACUUGCUGGAGAUACUAUUAGACUUGAGGUCGGGAGAGGUUAGGGGUACUCCCAGGGUAGGGGUGAACUCCUAUAAUCCUGGGAGGAUCACAUGCGGCGAAGGCGCCUACCUGGACCGAACAUGAUGGUAAGUAAAGAAUGAAAGGGGCGAGAACUG
RNAcentral lists this ribosomal RNA (252 nucleotides) under uncultured prokaryote. RNAcentral describes it as "partial 16S rRNA". It matches the Rfam family "Archaeal small subunit ribosomal RNA", at positions 475 to 726 of the family's 1478-position model. The record is from RNAcentral.